UACGGGGGGGGGUAAGCGUUGUUCGGAAUUACUGGGCGUAAAGGGCUCGUAGGCGGCCAACUAAGUCAUACGUGAAAUCCCUCAGCUUAACUGGGGAACUGCGUGUGAUACUGGAUGGCUUGGAUUUGGGAGAGGGAUGCGGAAUUCCAGGUGUAGCGGUGAAAUGCGUAGAUAUCUGGAGGAAUACCGGUGGCGAAGGCGGCAUCCUGGACCAUUACUGACGCUGAGGCGCGAAAGCUAGGGGAGCAAACGGG
This 254-nucleotide ribosomal RNA is filed under the name uncultured bacterium. RNAcentral's name for it is "partial 16S ribosomal RNA". It matches the Rfam family "Bacterial small subunit ribosomal RNA", at positions 524 to 776 of the family's 1533-position model. The record is from RNAcentral.